RNAcentral lists this ribosomal RNA (253 nucleotides) under uncultured bacterium. RNAcentral's name for it is "partial 16S ribosomal RNA". It matches the Rfam family "Bacterial small subunit ribosomal RNA", at positions 524 to 776 of the family's 1533-position model. The record is from RNAcentral.
UACGUAGGGUGCAAGCGGUAAUCGGAAUUACUGGGCGUAAAGCGUGCGCAGGCGGUCUUGUAAGACAGAGGUGAAAUCCCCGGGCUUAACCUGGGAACUGCCUUUGUGACUGCAAGGCUUGAGUACGGCAGAGGGGGAUGGAAUUCCGCGUGUAGCAGUGAAAUGCGUAGAUAUGCGGAGGAACACCGAUGGCGAAGGCAGUCCCCUGGGCCUGUACUGACGCUCAUGCACGAAAGCGUGGGGAGCAAACAGG